CGCCCCUUUGAUAAGAGCUUAUAUACCGCGGCGCCGAGCAUAGCGGGCGCACUUUUUCCCAGCUUAUCACAGUCGGCGGCCCAGCUGUGCUGGUGCUCGCCAGUCACCUUGUCAAUGGAAUAAAGCAAUUCCCUUUGCGUACUGUCCCUGCAACCGCCUGGUUCCUGCCUGCCUGGAAGAACACCACAUAAUGGCGACGAGGAUCAACGCAUCGACAGCGGGACCCUGCAGCUAAGUUGACAGUCUCUUCUUCGGAACCGACAAUACUGCAAAAUGGCCUCGCAGCUGGGACAGAUGGAACCUUUUGACGACUCGACCAGUGACUGGACGUCGUACGACGAGCGACUCUCAUCGUAUCUGAGGGCAAACAAGGUUCCAGCCGACCUUCAAGUCGACGUUGUCAUUGCUGCGACUCGAUGUCCCCUGGGCCUGGAGUGACGAGUGCGAAGCAGCCUUCUCGCAUAUCAAGCAGCCGCUCUCGCAGCCACCGGUUCUCGCUCACUACGACUCCAGUGCGCCCCUGCAACUGUCGUGUGAUGCAUCGGCAUACGGUAUAGGAGCUGCCAUCUCUCAUGUGGAGCCAAAUGGUCAGUGCCAUCCGGUUGCGUACACAUCACGUACCUUAUCUUCAGCGGAGGUCAACUAUAGUCAACUGGAAAAAGAGGCGCUCGCUCUAGUUUUCGGCGUCAAACGUUUCCACUACUAUCUUUUCGGGCGUUCAUUUGUUCUCGUUACUGACCACAAACCCUUGCAGACAAUUUUCGGUCCCAAGACGGGAAUACCAACUGUUGCCGCAGCUAGACUGCAACGCUGGGCUUUAGUUCUGUCUGCUUACAAUUUUACUUUGAAGUAUAAGCCAUCGAGUCAAAACGCUGAAGCAGAUUGCUUAUCUCGAUUGCCUCUGCCAAGUGAAAGUGAAGAAUGCUCGGAUGACCAGUUUUAUCUCCUACGCAUGCAGUCCUUGCCAAUUAACUGUCGCGAUGUGGCACGCGAAACGGCCCGAGAUCCGAUUCUAAAGAUAGUCAUGCAGCACGUAAUGAACGGUUGGCCUGAGACCAUCGUGAGUGAAGAAAUGAAGCCGUUUUUUCACAGACGCCGUGAACUUUCUGCACAGCUAGGGUGUCUUCUUCUUGGAAUGCGUCUCGUUAUUCCUCGCAAACACCAGUCGCUGAUGCUCGAAGAAUUGCACCAGGGACAUCCAGGAAUUGUUCGGAUGAAAGAACUAGCACGUAGUUACGUGUGGUGGCCAUGCAUCGAUCGCGACAUUGAGGCCCAAGUGCGUUCUUGCAACUCCUGUUUAACGCAACGCGCGAUGCCUUGCCCGGCUCCUUUGCACCCGUGGGCAUGGCCAACCAGACCACGGGAACGUCUGCAUAUCGAUUUUGCAGGGCCUUCCAAGGGCGCCAUGUUCUUGGUUGUGGUCGACGCUCACUCCAAGUGGCCGGAGGUGUGCCAAAUGCGAGACACGUCCGCGGAAAACACAGUAAACCGUCUCCACGAAAUCUGCAGGUUUGGUUACCCUGAAGUUGUGGUAUCUGACAAUGGACCGCAGUUCAUCUCAGCUGUGUUUUCAAACUACCUUGAGAGCAUUGACACGCGCCAUGUAAGGACGUCAGCCUACCAUCCGAGCAGUAAUGGACAAGCUGAACGAUUUGUCCAAACUUUGAAAGCGGCACUGCGGAAAAGUACUGCCGCGAGCUUAAGCACCACGUUGGGAGAGUUUUUGUCUUACAGGAACACUCCACAUGCCUCCACGGGCGAGGCGCCGGCCACUCUCCUGCUACAGCGUAGACUCCGCACCCGUCUAGAUGCCGUCAAGCCCUCGCUACAGCAGAAGGUUUCGACGCGGCAGUUCGUCCAGACAGUGCGUCGCAAGCAGCGCGCACGUGAAUUCGCUGUGGGUGAAAGUGUUCUUGUGCGAAAUUUCAGACGCGGUGCAAAGUGGUUGCCUGGGAUUGUGUUAGGGCGGACUGGACCUGUUUCAUACAGAGUUCGUGUGGAAACCGGUCGAGGUGUGUUUGCCUGGAAGCGCCACCAGAACCACAUAAUUCAAGCCAGGGAUAUGGACUUUCCGUACAUCCCUGAACAGCGAGACGACCCCGAGCAGCCGCGACCCGACAGCCCCGACCCGGUGCAGCCAGCUUCGUCUUCUCUUCCAGCCACGGCAGAGCAGCGUUAUCCUGCAAGGCAGAGGCGCCCUCCAGACCGCUAUGUGCCAUGAACUACUUUUUGUUUCAGUGCAUGCGCCCGAACUACAAUAAAAACGGGGAAGUGUAGUGGCUGCACGUCUACCGAUAACCUACACGUGCGCUACUGCGACAUGCCCCUUUGAUAAGAGCUUAUAUAUCGCGGCGCCGAGCGUAGCCGGCGCACUUCUUCCCAGCUUAUCACAGUCGGCGGCCCAGCUGUGCUGGUCCUCGCCAGUCACCUUGUCAAUAGAAUAAAGCAAUUCCCUUUGCGUACUGUCCCUGCAACCGCCUGGUUCCUGCCUGCCUGGAAGAACACCACAACAGGCAGCACUGUCGGCCGGUAUUUCGUGAAAAGAAACACCUGGAGGUCUUUUCCAUUAACUAGACGUAGACAGUGGAACACAACAGUAGCGCGCGGCUGCAGGAAUUCAUCUACUACACAACUCUAAAACACAGUCAAUUCUACAUUGGCACAAACAAAAAGGAUGCAAAACAUAGGCGCGGACAGCGUGCACAGCAGCAGUGACCGGUCCUGUCGUGUCUGCGGUAGUGUCAGCUCUCAUGGCCAUUUCAGCUGCAUGGUUGAGAGAAACAGGAGAGGGUUCGGCAGGAAGCGCCCGCUCACACGACUGGCAUAUUCUUAGAGGAGGUGCUGGCUUUGAUUAAUGCUGUUUCGGAUGCGGUCACUGCAAAAGGUCUGGAAAAUGGCAUGGCCGAAGGGCUCUUGCAUCCGGAAUUUCACAAGUUCUGAUACUUGACUCUAUGGGGUACGUGGUUGUGCUGGGAAGCUGUCCGAAUUAUUGGGCACGCCACCGCAACGACAGUGGUCACAAAAAUACCCUUCUUGACGCAGGUCAGUUACCUUCCGAACGCGGCUUGUGUCCGCUCUAGAAAUCGCUGUUUUCUUGCGAUGUCGUGCCCCCCUUGUGUUAAUGGAACUUGUUGUGGGCUGUUGUGUGAAAUAUUAUCUCUAUAUAUCAAUGCUAACACAAUUACUCUGCUCCUGUUGCUGUCGGGCGACGUAGAAUUAAACCCAGGACCAACUGACGUUUCACCGCCGUCCAUUGAAACUAUUGCAAAGGCCAUAUCUCGCAUAGAAACAUCACAAAGCUCUGUUCUGUCCAAACUUUCUUUAAUCCGAGCAUCACAGAAUAGCAUCGAGACCCUCGUGACCAGCCUUUCGGCUCGCGUUGAUGCCCUGGAGAAGAUUGUCCAGUCGACUCAGUCAAAGGAAAUAGGUUUAAAGGUGGACGUGAAUGGUAGCCUUGCAAAACUUUCCACUGAAAUCAAAGUCCUUACCGAAAAAUGCGAUGAUGCAGAAAAUCGCCUGCGUCGUUCAAACUUACUUUUUUUGGAAUUCAAGAGACAAAGGGUGAGACUUGGCUUGAGUCUCAGACAAAAAUAGUAUCAUUCUGCUCCGAGCAACUCGGUUUAUCCGUUUGUACAGACGACUUGGAGCGUGCAAACCGACUUGGUCGUUACCAGCAAGACAAAACUAGGCCUAUUAUUGCAAAAUAUGCAAGAUUUAAAGAUAAAUCAAGAAUUCUUGCAGUGGUUUCUAAGUUCAAGGGCACGAAUUUUUCGAUUCGCGAGGACUACUCAGCCAGAGUUCGACAGGCACGAAGAAAACUUUAUCUUCCUGGACAACAGAGCGGCAGAUCAUUUAAACUUCGUUUUGACAAGCUGCUGCUUGAUGGCAAACAAUUCACGAACAAUGCUGAAUCUGAUUGUAUAGUUGAACUGAGGGCAUAGCGGUCACUGCGUCUCUCCAGGCAUGCGCGCCCCCUCUUCUCCCCUCCAGACCUGCCGCGCCUCGAUUACUGUCCCUGUUUAUCAAAUUAUGUCGGUCUUGCUCGCAAACAUGCGUAGUUACCUGCCUAGGAAAGACGCCCUAGAAUCUAUCUUCAAAGACAACAAUACUGACCUUGCUAUACUUACGGAAUCUUGGCUGCAUCCACAUAUUGCUGACUACGAGCUACUAAAUGAUAGCCAAACAUACGCUGUUCACAGGAUUGACAGGUUGGGGCGCAGGGGAGGCGGGAUUUUGAUUUUUGUUAAAGAUAGUGUUCCCUCAUAUGUCACCAAAUUGAACUGUCAACAUGAAAUUUUCUGUGUAAAUAUAUCACUUCGGUCAAGUA
Molecule: long non-coding RNA, 4327 nt
Organism: Dermacentor albipictus
Lineage: Eukaryota; Metazoa; Arthropoda; Arachnida; Ixodida; Ixodidae
Source: RefSeq, a predicted model, not a curated record